Molecule: non-coding RNA, 28 nt
Filed under: Homo sapiens (human)
Lineage: Eukaryota; Metazoa; Chordata; Mammalia; Primates; Hominidae
Source: RNAcentral
UACACAGGUAUACAGGUACUAUGGUGGU